CCUACGGGUGGCAGCAGUGGGGAAUAUUGGACAAUGGGCGAAAGCCUGAUCCAGCCAUGCCGCGUGUGUGAAGAAGGCCUUCGGGUUGUAAAGCACUUUCAGUGGGGAAGAAAGCCUUGGGGCUAAUACCCUCGAGGAAGGACAUCACCCACAGAAGAAGCACCGGCUAACUCCGUGCCAGCAGCCGCGGUAAUACGGAGGGUGCGAGCGUUAAUCGGAAUUACUGGGCGGAAAGCGCGCGUAGGCGGUCUGAUAAGCCGGUUGUGAAAGCCCCGGGCGCAACCUGGGAACGGCAUCCGGAACUGUCAGGCUAGAGUGCAGGAGAGGAAGGUAGAAUUCCCGGUGUAGCGGUGAAAUGCGUAGAGAUCGGGAGGAAUACCAGUGGCGAAGGCGGCCUUCUGGACUGACACUGACGCUGAGGUGCGAAAGCGUGGGUAGCAAACAGGAUUAGAUACCCCGGUAGUC
Molecule: ribosomal RNA, 465 nt
Filed under: Vreelandella stevensii
Lineage: Bacteria; Pseudomonadati; Pseudomonadota; Gammaproteobacteria; Oceanospirillales; Halomonadaceae
Description: partial 16S ribosomal RNA
Rfam family: Bacterial small subunit ribosomal RNA
Source: RNAcentral